This 886-nucleotide ribosomal RNA is filed under the name Angustimassarina rosarum. RNAcentral's name for it is "SSU rRNA". It matches the Rfam family "Eukaryotic small subunit ribosomal RNA", at positions 202 to 1093 of the family's 1831-position model. Lineage: Eukaryota; Fungi; Ascomycota; Dothideomycetes; Pleosporales; Amorosiaceae. The record is from RNAcentral.
UGUAUUUAUUAGAUAAAAAACCAAUGCCCUUCGGGGCUACUUGGUGAUUCAUAAUAACUUAACGGAUCGCAUGGCCUUGCGCCGGCGACGGUUCAUUCAAAUUUCUGCCCUAUCAACUUUCGAUGGUAAGGUAUUGGCUUACCAUGGUUUCAACGGGUAACGGGGAAUAAGGGUUCUAUUCCGGAGAGGGAGCCUGAGAAACGGCUACCACAUCCAAGGAAGGCAGCAGGCGCGCAAAUUACCCAAUCCCGACACGGGGAGGUAGUGACAAUAAAUACUGAUACAGGGCUCUUUUGGGUCUUGUAAUUGGAAUGAGUACAAUUUAAAUCCCUUAACGAGGAACAAUUGGAGGGCAAGUCUGGUGCCAGCAGCCGCGGUAAUUCCAGCUCCAAUAGCGUAUAUUAAAGUUGUUGCAGUUAAAAAGCUCGUAGUUGAACCUUGGGCCUGGCUGGCCGGUCCGCCUCACCGCGUGUACUGGUCCGGCCGGGCCUUUCCUUCUGGAGAGCCCCAUGCCCUUCACUGGGUGUGCGGGGGAACCAGGACUUUUACUUUGAAAAAAUUAGAGUGUUCAAAGCAGGCCUUUGCUCGAAUACGUUAGCAUGGAAUAAUAGAAUAGGACGUGUGGUUCUAUUUUGUUGGUUUCUAGAACCGCCGUAAUGAUUAAUAGGGAUAGUCGGGGGCAUCAGUAUUCAAUUGUCAGAGGUGAAAUUCUUAGAUUUAUUGAAGACUAACUACUGCGAAAGCAUUUGCCAAGGAUGUUUUCAUUAAUCAGUGAACGAAAGUCAGGGGAUCGAAGACGAUCAGAUACCGUCGUAGUCUUGACCGUAAACUAUGCCGACUAGGGAUCGGGCGGUGUUUCUAUCUUGACCCGCUCGGCACCUUACGA